UACGUAGGGGGCAAGCGUUAUCCGGAUUUACUGGGUGUAAAGGGAGCGUAGACGGCAGGGCAAGUCUGGAGUGAAAGCCCGGGGCCCAACCUCGGGACUGCUUUGGAAACUGCCAUGCUAGAGUGCUGGAGAGGUAAGCGGAAUUCCUAGUGUAGCGGUGAAAUGCGUAGAUAUUAGGAGGAACACCAGUGGCGAAGGCGGCCUACUGGGCUCUAACUGACGCUGAGGCACGAAAGCGUGGGUAGCAAACAGG
RNAcentral lists this ribosomal RNA (253 nucleotides) under uncultured Eubacteriales bacterium. Its description in RNAcentral is "uncultured Clostridiales bacterium partial 16S ribosomal RNA". It matches the Rfam family "Bacterial small subunit ribosomal RNA", at positions 524 to 776 of the family's 1533-position model. Lineage: Bacteria; Bacillati; Bacillota; Clostridia; Eubacteriales. The record is from RNAcentral.